Molecule: non-coding RNA, 89 nt
Filed under: Nitrospirota bacterium
Lineage: Bacteria; Pseudomonadati; Nitrospirota
Description: Nitrospirae bacterium c-di-GMP sequence
Rfam family: c-di-GMP-I riboswitch aptamer
About the family: GEMM was predicted in a large-scale screen for bacterial structured RNA regulatory elements. Genes associated with GEMM are involved in a diverse array of functions, including chemotaxis regulation, signal transduction, secretion and chitin.
Source: RNAcentral
CGCUGCUCAGAGCAAACCCGCCGAAAGGCGGUGACGCAGAGCUACGGGACUAAGGCGACGUCGGUCGCUAGGUCCGCCGGGCCGCCAGC